This 532-nucleotide ribosomal RNA is filed under the name uncultured beta proteobacterium. RNAcentral describes it as "bacterial SSU rRNA". It matches the Rfam family "Bacterial small subunit ribosomal RNA", at positions 355 to 878 of the family's 1533-position model. The record is from RNAcentral. Lineage: Bacteria; Pseudomonadati; Pseudomonadota; Betaproteobacteria.
UGGGGAAUUUUGGACAAUGGGGGCAACCCUGAUCCAGCCAUGCCGCGUGAGUGAAGAAGGCCUUCGGGUUGUAAAGCUCUUUCAGUUGGGAAGAAACGGGGUUCUCUAACAUAGGGCUCUACUGACGGUAUCGACAGAAGAAGCACCGGCUAACUACGUGCCAGCAGCCGCGGUAAUACGUAGGGUGCGAGCGUUAAUCGGAAUUACUGGGCGUAAAGGGUGCGCAGGCGGUUGUGUAAGACAGGUGUGAAAUCCCCGGGCUUAACCUGGGAACUGCGCUUGUGACUGCACGGCUAGAGUACGGCAGAGGGGGGUGGAAUUCCGCGUGUAGCAGUGAAAUGCGUAGAUAUGUGGAGGAACACCAAUGGCGAAGGCAGCCCCCUGGGCCGAUACUGACGCUCAUGCACGAAAGCGUGGGGAGCAAACAGGAUUAGAUACCCUGGUAGUCCACGCCCUAAACGAUGUCGACUAGUUGUCCGGAGCGGUAACGCACUGGGUAACGCAGCUAACGCGUGAAGUCGACCGCCUGGGG